AGCAAACUCAGAACGAUGCCACUUUUCACACCUCUGUUCUCCAUCCCUAGAAUGUCACAUGGGCCACCUGGGGAACUAUACGGUAGAAAGGCGUUGGGUUUUUUUUCCUGUAGUAGAAAGAAAACUGCUUCCCAAGUAGAAGGUAUUACAGCAUUUUCCCAAUGAAGGAUGAAGCAGCAGUGAGGUGAGGUGGUGAGUCAGGUGAGAGGAAACUGAUCUAUAAAAAAUACUUUUAUUUUCCUCUUUGCUUCCCUUAAUAAAUUAAAGGACAAGUUCUUGUUGCAUGAUAUUUCAGAAAUAAUAUAAAACACAUGUCUUUCUGCCUUUACUCCUCUAGCCCUUGCUUCUCAGGGGUAGAUGAAGGGGGAGUUCUUGGGAUCGAGGUGCUGGCACCAGGAAGAUAAACUCGAAGCCCCUCCCUCUCUCCACCGCUGAGCAGGUCAAAAAAUGAUUGCAUUGGCCGUGAAGGAUUUAUGUCUGCCCGUGAGUCAGUCAGAGUGUCGGGGUAAAUCAAGGCUGACAUUUUUAGCAUCCUGGAAAAAAAAGCAAUUGCAUUUUAUGUCUACAUUUUGCUCGGCUAAUCAAGGUGCGGAAGAGACGAUCUGCCUGGGGAAACUUUUCCACUUUUUAUUAGCGAGGUAGGGUUUGGUGUGCCCCGUAGAAACGUGGAGCAAGUCCAUAAAGCCCUCAGUUUAGAGUUAAGAGAGGAAAAGGCUCUCCCUGUCAGAUGUGAUUUGGAGAGAGAGCUGGCAAAAUGUUUGGAAGGCUGAGGAAGGGGUUCUGGGCUGGCUGGGGGCAUCAUCUGAGCAAUCUUAGCGCAAGGGAAUGGACAGUCAUCUCUGCAAAGGGUUUCUUCUCUCCAGGCAUCUCCAGCAGGACCUAUGUUUUAUCAUAGCACCAUUAGGGAAAAACUAGUUUGAGGCUUUUGACUAAAUUGGCCAGCUGCUAAUUGACCACUAAUCAGUCCUUUAGCUGAAGCAACCAGCAAAAUAACUAAGCAGAUCAGUUGAAACCAUCGAAGCAGUUGAUAUAUGUUGACAUAGGUCAAGAUCAAGCCACAGUUAAUGUGUAGCGAGGGGAAGAGAAAAAUGAACAAAUUCGCUACUAAUAUUUCUCUUUAGCUUUUCAUUUCCAAGGCUAAUUAUUGGUUUAUUUAAGUGCUUUGCCUUGGUAAAAGAGAAUGUAUUUGGAUUUCAAAAGUCUUCUAUUUUGCACCAGGGACUAGAUUCAGCAAAUGUACUUUCAUAUGUAAACGGAUAGGGAUGAUGAUUGCUUUUUUGAGAGGGAGGGGAUUUCUCAUUGAAUCUCCAACAUCUUGGGAGAUAGUUUUACAGAAGGGGAAACUGAAGCUUAGAGCAAUUGACUAAUAUACUCCAGGUUAUAUCUGGCUGCUCUUAGCUGGUAAGAGCUAAAAAGUUCUUUGAACAGAGGCAGUUUUGCCUUCACAGCCUUCAUCCUUAUGUGCAUGCUGUUUCAGAUUUGAUCUCAGCAGAAAUGUGCAGUCAUUCUAACUAUGUUGGGACCUAGAGGUUCGAUGAAAACACAUUUUAUAAGUGACUAAAUUUUCCUUUUCAUGGCCCUGAAAAAGCCUGGGAACCAGCCACAGGUCCUGAACGUGUGAAAUGAUGAUGAUAAUAGCUAAAAUGCAUUGCUUACCUGUCAUGUGCCAGAUACUGUUUUAAGCUCCAUGAAUGUAUCUACUUACAGAAGCCCCCCAUAGUCCUAAAAAGUGAGCCUAUUAUGAUCUCGUGCUCUGGAUGAAGAGACGGAGGGCCCAAGAAAUUCAGAAACUUUCUGCUUCAUUUGAUGAAGUGAUAGCUAUGGAGUUCCUGUUAUGGCUCAGGGGGUUAAGAACCUGACAUAAUGUCUGUGAGGAUGAGGGUUUGAGCCCUGGCCUGGCUCACUGGGUUAGGGAUACAGUGUUGCCACAAGCUGUGGUGUAGGUGGCAGAUGUGGUUUGGAGCUGGCGCAGCUGUGGCUGUGGUGUAGGCCAGCAGCUGCAGCUCUCAGUUGACCCCUAGCCUGGGAACCUCCAUAUGCUGUGGGUUUGGCUAUAAAAAGAAAAAAAAAAACAUGUUUUAAGUAACCACUGUUGGCAGUGGUUAGUUCAGUCCUUCUUCUCAUGCGUGUGUGUUUGCAAAUUGCUCUGUGAUUUCUGAUUUAAGAGACUUCAGAGUUUUCUUAUAAAAAAAUAAGAUUCUUCAUCUAUUAGCACAUAUUUACUUUAAAAAGAAAGGGUCAAUAAAACUG
This 2250-nucleotide long non-coding RNA is filed under the name Sus scrofa (pig). Its description in RNAcentral is "lncRNA (ENSSSCG00000056967.1)". The record is from RNAcentral. Lineage: Eukaryota; Metazoa; Chordata; Mammalia; Artiodactyla; Suidae.